Molecule: ribosomal RNA, 276 nt
Filed under: uncultured Desulfovibrio sp.
Lineage: Bacteria; Pseudomonadati; Thermodesulfobacteriota; Desulfovibrionia; Desulfovibrionales; Desulfovibrionaceae
Description: partial 16S ribosomal RNA
Rfam family: Bacterial small subunit ribosomal RNA
Source: RNAcentral
CCACGUUGCUACCACGGUAAGUGCUGGGGCACUCUGGUGAGACUGCCCCGGUUAACGGGGAGGAAGGUGGGGACGACGUCAAGUCAUCAUGGCCCUUACGCCUAGGGCUACACACGUACUACAAUGGCGCAUACAAAGGGCAGCGAUACCGCGAGGUGGAGCCAAUCCCAAAAAGUGCGUCCCAGUCCGGAUUGCAGUCUGCAACUCGACUGCAUGAAGUUGGAAUCGCUAGUAAUUCGAGAUCAGCAUGCUCGGGUGAAUGCGUUCCCGGGCCUU